RNAcentral lists this ribosomal RNA (767 nucleotides) under Austrochloritis porteri. RNAcentral describes it as "partial large subunit ribosomal RNA". Lineage: Eukaryota; Metazoa; Mollusca; Gastropoda; Stylommatophora; Camaenidae. The record is from RNAcentral.
UUAAUUAAAUAUUAAUAAAUAAUAUUACACGAAGCUGGAGGAGCUAGUUUUACUAUAUUAGUAGAUGUAUAGGUGUUGCAUAACCUAAGAAAGGGAAAACUGGGAGUGAUAGGCUUUACACAUUCAGCGAUAACUUGAUUAUCAACAAAUGUAUUAAUACAAAGACACUUCGGGAAUGAUAAGGUUUUCGAGAUGAAUUAAUUAUUUUAAAGAAAUUAUAUAUGGUUUAAUUAUUAGUGUGUUUAUAUAUUAUAAUUAUAUUAUUAGAAUUAUUUACAAAAUUGAUAGAUGUUUUAAUUACUGUGUACAAAUAUAAUGUUAAUAUAAGUAACAAUCAGAUAUUAUUAAUGAACUCGGCAAUAAGUCCUCUAACUGUUUAUCAAAAACAUAGCUAUAUGUAUUAAUAUAUAGUGAUUUCUGCUCAAUGAGGUUUAAAUAGCCGCAGUACCCUGACUGUGCAAAGGUAGCGCAAUCAAUUGGCUUUUAAUUGAAGUCCGGUAUGAAAGAACAUAUAAGGGGGCUUCUUUAUCAGUGAUAAUUUAUGAAUUUACUAAUUAAGUGCAAAUACUUAUAUUUAAACAAUAGACGAGAAGACCCUAGAAAUUUUAAGAAUUAAUCUUUUUGUUGGGGCAACAAAGUAGUAAGUAUUAAUCUACUAUUGUUACAUGAAAGGUAUACCUUGAAAGAUAAAAUUACUCUAGGGAUAACAGCAUAAUUUAUUAAAGUUUGUGACCUCGAUGUUGGAUUAGGGAAUUAACAUUCAGAAG